Molecule: long non-coding RNA, 3593 nt
Organism: Gavialis gangeticus (Gharial)
Lineage: Eukaryota; Metazoa; Chordata; Crocodylia; Gavialidae
Exons: 2
Source: RefSeq, a predicted model, not a curated record
UUGAACUCCAAAUCUGUGUGUUCUUCACAUUUUGGUGUGUGCUUAAAACAACCAGGAUCUAAUUAGAAUGAGUUUAGUACUGUGGUAUAUUUAAAGCGUAGUUUAUCUAAGUUGCUUCAUUUUUCAGAGGUAAGAGCAAAAAAUAUCUCAACUGCUGCUGGGCUUAAUGGAGCCUUUUAUAGCUGAUGACACUUAAUAAAGUAUUUUGGUGUAGUAUGUUUGUAACCCUAUUGAAAAAGAGGGAAAGCAUCAUUUAUAGUCUUAGGUUUGUAAUCCUUGCAAAGGACAAACUAUAUUAUGAUACUUGUGCAAGUAGAUAUGUGGUCAAGGAGUGCUUAAAAAUGAAGUUAUGCAUUAUAGGUGUGUAAAAUGCAGAACUGAAAUAAAUCAGUCUGUUUUCGUUCAAAAGGAGAUCAGGAGAGUGCUCUUGGCAACAAUGCCCAGCCCAGGACCUCGUGAUUAGAUAACUUUGCUGGGAAAAAAGAAACGCAUUAAACCCCUCUGAGUGAGGGGGCAGUAGAACCCAGAUCUCCUACCCUUUCCAAUAAGCUGUUUAGCUAAAUAUUGGGAAGGUAGCCCUCCUCCUCUGUUAUUUUACCUCUGGCAAGUAUGCCACACAUGCUUUUCUACAGGUAGAAGUAGAAUCCAAGCUAUGCAUAGGGCUAGGAAAGGACAUCAUAUCCGAAACUGGACAAGUUAUGCCUGUGUUUGUCUUGAAACACAGAAAGUUAAAAUAAUAUCAGCAAUGCCCUGUAGCUGCUUGGCUCUCUGGCUCUCCAGUGGCUCCCCACUUACCUGCCCCACCCUCUACCCGUGCUUCCCCAGCAGCUCCCCACUCACCUGCUUCCCUCAUCCCGCACCCACUGCCUGGCUCUCUUGUCAAUGCAGGGCAGUAGAGUUCCAGAUGAUAGAUCAUCUGAUUGGGGGCGGGGGGGCAGAAAUCUGGGAACAGUGCAUCCUGAGAUACUGAAGGACCACAAAUUGCUGGUAUUGGUCCUGGGGAGUCCACUAACAUUACUGCAACACAAACUGCCUAACACCAGCUAGAGACACUCAGCACCUAAAAGGAACAUCUUUAUGCAUCUCCUGAGCAAAACUGCUAUCUGCUCUGAACCAAUCUAAGCUCUGCAUGAUAUCAUAACUUCAUUUUGUCUCAAUUCGCUUUCUAGCUUAUUACCACUGCCUUAGGAUUUAAUAACUGUUGCUCUUCAGUUGCAGGAAAUCAACAUAGUUCAAUCUUUCAUUGUUAGCUUAAUUUAGAAUAUGCUAUUUGCUUUGCUACUGUAGAAUUUUUAAUAGUUGAUUCACAUACAGUGUCUUUGCUUACACAGAAGUGCAUUGAAGUACUAUUAAAAUUAAUCCCAAGGUGAUGAAAAAUGAAGAAAUACAUAGCUAAAAUUAACAGUUCUUGGAACUGCUGUCUGAAUAUCACAGAAUACAGAGUAGAAAGGCAUACUCUACCCUUGUUCUGGGCAUGGAAUUCCUGUCAAAAUAGUCUGAAAUAUGUUUCAUAGCAUGAAAUAUCACACACUAAUGCCACAUCAAACACUUUUCUAAUGUCAUAUCUGCUUACAUACCAGCAGUAUCAGCAGUAUUGACUGGUUCUUCUGUGUCCUGUGGUCCAUAGGGUUAGGAUAGUUGAGGCAUGCUAGCUUUGGUAGUCAACAGCAUACAUAAGGAGUGAUAUUGCUAGCAUUAUGUCUUUUGACUCCCAAGUCUGAUUGUCUAUUUACUGCUCAUUCAAUUGUGGCUACUAACAUAAGCCUGAAACAAGACUUGAACUCAAGCCUUUGAGUUGUAGUAAAGCACAUCAACAGUUUUUCCACAAUGCUACUAGAAUCACAGUGUCCCGAGCAAUUCCUAUUACUACUUUCAUUUUGACUUUGUUCAUGUUUAAAGUUCUAAGAUUUUAAAUAUAAAAGGCAACUCCCUGUUUGAAUAAUCAGCUUGAAAGAAUUCAUAAAAAAAAUAUAACUACUUCCUGCUAAAAGAAUUUAAAGACUCAAUGCUGCUGUAAUAAAGCAGAGUCUGAAUGUCACGAUGGGGGAUCAAGGCCCAGUUAUACCAGGCACAGUGAACACAUGUAACCAAUAGGCAGUGACUAACCUGAAAAGCUUAAGCAACGCAGCAGCUUAUUUAUAAAUGUAAUUUGGUCUUAAUGUAAGUUAUGCUUUUAUAACGCAUGUGAAAAAUAUGCUUCAAUACUGUUUCAUAGAAGAGAUGAAAGGGUUUUUUUGUCAGUGUAAGCUUGGAGCAGACUUUUGUGAAUGAAGUUUAGAAUGGGCCAGUGUCACUGUCUUAAUGGUGGUAUGAGCUGAUCUAAUAUCACAACUAAUAAAAUCGAUUUUGUGGAGUGAUAGACAUUCUCUAGAAUAUAAAAGCUAACGUCAGCUUCAGUUAAAGUUCCAAUACUGUUUUUUUAAAUGAAGAUCAGUUCUUUUUCAUCCAGUUUCUAUGGCAAUGUACAGUAGAACCACACUAAUAUGAACAGCGAACCCUGACAGCAGGUGGAUGGGAGACAGACACAGAAAAGAAGUUAAAGCAAAGCUACAUCUAACCAAAGGAAAGAUGGAUUAAAUAGUAUCCAACAAAUUACAUGGCUACUGGGAAGAAUAAGAUCCCCAAAUGUCAAUCAAAUUAUAUUUUUUUCCAUGCAGCUGCAAUUGUUGUAAUAUUUCCUUAUGCAGAGGAAAAAAGGUCUGGAUGAAGAGUGCUUCGUGCUGUGCUGUUUUUUCACCCAAAGUAUAUUUUUUUUCAUCUGGCCAAAAACACUGAGAGGCAAGCCCAGACCUUUCCAGCCAAUUGAUUUCCUGUUUUCCUCCUGUCCAUUCACUUUUGUCUUUAGCAAUUGUUUUUAUAAUAGGGGAAAUUGCCCACAAAAUCCCCUAUAUAUUUAUAGAAAAUUAUAUAUGCAUGUAUGUAUUUGUCUAUAGAUAUGUGCAUGUACAUACAUACACACACACACAUUUUUUUUAUACACUGAUAUUAUACUGAGGCUAAGCCACAGCCAGUUAGGGAUCAUUUUGCUUUGCUGAGCACACAAGCUACAAUAACAUAUGGGAGACCUGAGGGCUAAACUAGAUAACCCUUGAGGUCCCAAUGACCUAGAGGUUGACUCCCAACCCACCUUUGAAGUCUCUAGGUUUUUUUCUUUGUCCUCCUCCUGGGUUUCCUGCUGACUGAAGAGGGUAACAGAUGGUGUUGGCCACUUGUUCUCAGAAGUGGUGCUAGGUACUCCUGGUCCAAGAACCGGUAAUAGAUCAUUGUGUGCCCUGAACUAGUUGAAUAGCCACAGGAUGAUGCAUGUGGCUAUGUCCAUCUGUCCACAGUGUGCACCAUCCACAUCAUGCCUUCACAGUGUAUUAAUCCAACACAAGGCAGUGCUGUUCUGAGGACUACCACACCGACUCCCAAUCCAGAAGGAGUAUAGAUGUGGCAACACAGUGUGGAUGAAUAAGCUGUGCUUCCCGCUAACAAGUCAAGGCCCCAUAAGGUUUCUGUGCUGCUGGUCAGCUUGGCCAAAGUGUUUAUGAUAGUUAUUAAGGUGGUUGUUUCCCUCCCAUACGAAAAAGUUACUUUUUUCCUACUUCUAA